ACGGGAGGCAGCAGUGGGGAAUAUUGCACAGUGGCGCAAGCCUGAUGCAGCAACGCCGCGUGAGGGAUGACGGUCUUCGGAUUGUAAACCUUUGUCUUUGGUGAAGAAGAAAGUGACGGUAACCAAGGAGGAAGCCACGGCUAACUACGUGCCAGCAGCCGCGGUAAUACGUAGGUGGCAAGCGUUGUCCGGAAUUACUGGGUGUAAAGGGAGCGCAGGCGGGACUGCAGGUUGGAUGUGAAAUACCGAGGCUCAACCGCGGAGCUGCAUCAAAAACUGUAGUUCUUGAGUGGAGUAGAGCUAAGCGGAAUUCCGAGUGUAGCGGUGAAAUGCGUAGAUAGUCGGAGGAACACCAGUGGCGAAGGCGGCUUACUGGGCUCUAACUGACGCUGAGGCUCGAAAGUGUGGGGAGCAAACAGGAUUAGAUACCCUGGUA
RNAcentral lists this ribosomal RNA (436 nucleotides) under uncultured Lachnospiraceae bacterium. RNAcentral's name for it is "partial 16S ribosomal RNA". It matches the Rfam family "Bacterial small subunit ribosomal RNA", at positions 341 to 792 of the family's 1533-position model. The record is from RNAcentral. Lineage: Bacteria; Bacillati; Bacillota; Clostridia; Lachnospirales; Lachnospiraceae.